This is a long non-coding RNA of Centruroides sculpturatus (bark scorpion), 2614 nucleotides long. RefSeq lists it as uncharacterized. The record is from RefSeq and is a predicted model, not a curated record. The transcript is spliced from 2 exons. NCBI's taxonomy places the organism in Eukaryota, Metazoa, Arthropoda, Arachnida, Scorpiones, Buthidae.
ACAAAUUACGAUUUAAAGUAAAAUUUUAAUUUUGUUUGUACAAAAUAGUAUAAAAUGCGUACUAAAUAGUACACGCAUUUUCGUUGAAAAUAUUGAUAUGGGCGUUUCCAACUUCACAGACCACGUUAUGAUGAAGUCAUUCCUAUCGAAUCCUCUGUUGGUGCUGGUAACCUGUCGGUAGAAGCUACAUGGAACGUCAGUUCUCUUCUUUUAAUUUACUGUUAAAUUUAAGUAAUUCUAAUUGUUAAAUAUCUUUCGAUGUCUCAUUUGUCGUAUUUAGUCGGUUAAUUCUCGUUUUAUUUAGGUUUUUCGAUCGCUGUGCGUAGUUAGUGUUGUGUCAUCGCAGUUGGCACGUUGCCAAUGCAGUAGAUGUUGGUUAACUCCUUAUUUUUCAGCUAUUUUUACUAUUUUAUCCUUAUUCCUUAGCAUUUUUCUUUCUUUGGACACCCCUUUUGUUAACUUUUAGUAGUUUUAUAAGUUUAGAUGGCUCGAUUUUUUUCUUUUAAGGCUAAGUUUAAGUUUAAUUUGGUUUCGCUUUUUUUUACGUUUGGUUCCUUUAUAAAGACUUAUGUUUUUGUAAGUGAAUGGGGAAGAGGUUCGGUGUCGGAAAUUUCUUUAUUUUGUUUGCCUACGUUCGGCAGUUUUCGCGUAAUUUGGCCAUUUCCGGUUCAUUGCUCUAAGCUUCUAGAAAAUUGUUGACUUCCUGUGUUUUUAGUUUUCUUUCUCUCGCCUCCAGAACCUGAUUUUCAAAUAGUUUUAAGUAAUUUUAAGUUAGCUUUAAAUAAACUUUAACUAAUUUUAAGUAGCUUAGUAGUAGCAAUAUCGGCGGUUUAUCUUGUAUGGCGAAAUUUUUGUGUUUGUUUUUAUUAUUUAGAGUUCAUUCUUUGUAUUUAUUCACUCCUUGAUUUAUUUAUUUUGCCUUCAGCUUACGGUUCCGGGUUCGAAAUCGAAUCCGGACGGUCUAUCUCGGAUAUAUUAGGCCCAAUCUCUUAUAACCCGUCCGUCCCACGAACCCACGAUGAGCAAGGAAUAAAGGCUCUCUUAGUACCCACAAGAAGAAAGGCGACCUCCAAAAGACCGAUAAGGCCAUCGAUACAUAGAAUGGUUUAACUACGUGAUAAUGUCAUGCGGCUAAAAGAUACUAUUAGUGACAGUAUUAAUCGUUUUAUAGAGAAUAACUAAAUUGAAACUUGGUUUAUGAGGUUAUGGGAUUCGUAGCUUCCAAAGUACAUAAAUAGGUAGCAAUUUUUAUCUGACCAGAUAAUUGCUUGCUUACGUAGAUGACAAUUAUCACCUUUGUCCCACUGAUCUUGUCGCUUGACCCAAUACACAGUUAAUAAGUCUGUUAUUUGACAAGAUAAUAUCGUAAAUUUUCUUAACAGGCUUAUUUUAAUUCGGAUGAUGGCCAAAUUAUUGGGGAAAAUAGGACUCGGUCUAGGUCUUAUCGACGACGUGAAACGUUUUUUACAUAAAUAAAAAAACGUUAUCCUGAUUAACGAUUAUAUUCUUAAAUGAUCUGACGAUUACUUUUGUGAUUUCUAUUCUACAAUAUGUUUAAGAUUUACAUUGAUGGCCCUACAUAGUAGACGAUGCAGGUGUUUCUUUUGUAUCUUACGCAGAUACAGGGCAGUAUCUUAAAUCACUGUUUUUAUAGAUUGUAUAGGUACUGUACUAGACGUGAGGUUUAAUUUACAUAAAGCAAAAUUCUACGUAACUUCAAAAAAUGUAAUAGUUUUACACAGGAUUUCGAAAUUCGAUAGUUGCUUAAAGUUCAUAUACUUGAUUACGUUACAUUAUCGACGCUUAGACAACACUUAAAUAUAUUUCGUACGGAUCUUUGGUCAUGCGAUGCUGUCGACUUGCAUAUUAUUGCGGAUUACGUUUAGUACAGAGUAACUUAGCUUACUGUUAGGAAAGAUUUUUAUAAUAGGCCCAUCACGGAUUCGGCCAGACUCAUGAUGGUUAGAUGAGGCCUGCCGUAUCUGAGUUAGACCAUUUUUGAGAGUUCUGAGGAUUCGACUAGGACUUGAAACUUGAUUCAUUGAAUAACAGACUAAAUCAGCAGAAAACUGCGUGAGCCAUUCGGAUUUAGGACCAGGUAGAAUACAAUUAGGUAACUUUCUACUAGGUAGAACUUUUUAACGAUAAGAGGAUAAGGUUAAAAGUUCCAUUCAAGUUUUAUUUUUAAAUGAGUUUUAGAAUAAGUAGCUUUAAUUAGUUGUAAAUUAACAUAAAGCAGUUUUAAUAUAAUUUAAUAGUGUUUUUAUCUGUAGGCUAGAAAUUAAUAAUAAUCUGGGUAAGUUGUUUUUAAGUUAGCUAAGAUUUGUAUAGUGCCUAAGCUUUUCAAUAACAAGCAAUCUAUAACACUAUUCUACCUAGCUAACAAUUUAUUAUUGCUUCAUGAAUCUUGGCUGCAUUGAAUAAACUACAGGAACCAGUCUUGCAAAUUAAGCCCGAAGUUCUUUCUUUUACUAUCUCCCAUCACAGGUUCCUCUUUCUACUCCUUCCUUUCCUACUCCUGUUUUUCAGGCUAAACACACUAACACAUCCCUUUAUAUACAAUUGAAAGGAAGGCAAUGGUUAAGGUUGGUAUAGAACCUCCCGGAAGAUAAAC